UACGAAGGGGGCUAGCGUUGCUCGGAAUUACUGGGCGUAAAGCGCGUGUAGGCGGCCCGGUAAGUCCGCUGUGAAAGUCCAGGGCUCAACCCUGGGAUGCCGGUGGAUACUGUCGGGCUCGAGUCCGGAAGAGGCGAGUGGAAUUCCUGGUGUAGCGGUGAAAUGCGCAGAUAUCAGGAGGAACACCAAUGGCGAAGGCAGCUCGCUGGGACGUGACUGACGCUGAGACGCGAAAGCGUGGGGAGCAAACAGG
Molecule: ribosomal RNA, 253 nt
Filed under: uncultured bacterium
Lineage: Bacteria
Description: partial 16S ribosomal RNA
Rfam family: Bacterial small subunit ribosomal RNA
Source: RNAcentral